Molecule: ribosomal RNA, 433 nt
Filed under: uncultured bacterium
Lineage: Bacteria
Description: partial 16S ribosomal RNA
Rfam family: Bacterial small subunit ribosomal RNA
Source: RNAcentral
AACGAACGCUGGCGGCAGGCCUAACACAUGCAAGUCGAGCGAGGACUUCGGUUCUAGCGGCGGACGGGUGAGUAACGCGUGGGAAUGUGCCCUUCUCUACGGAAUAGCCCUGGGAAACUGGGAGUAAUACCGUAUACGCCCUUUUGGGGAAAGAUUUAUCGGAGAAGGAUCAGCCCGCGUUGGAUUAGGUAGUUGGUGGGGUAAUGGCCUACCAAGCCGACGAUCCAUAGCUGGUUUGAGAGGAUGAUCAGCCACACUGGGACUGAGACACGGCCCAGACUCCUACGGGAGGCAGCAGUGGGGAAUCUUAGACAAUGGGGGCAACCUUGAUCUAGCCAUGCCGCGUGAGUGAUGAAGGCCUUAGGGUUGUAAAGCUCUUUCAGCUGGGAAGAUAAUGACGGUACCAGCAGAAGAAGCCCCGGCUAACUCCGUG